GUACCAUGCAGCACGUGGGAUCGUAGUUUGGUUCCCCGACCAGGGAUGGAACCCACGCCCCCUGCAUUGGAAGGGUGGAGUCUUAACCAAUGGACCCACCAGGGAAGUCCCUAUUAUAGUUUUUCCUCACUGUCUCUCUGAGGUAUCUUAUUGGGCUUGCUACUAAGCCCAAUAUGAAUUCAGAUCCUGGUUCUGUUGCUUGCUUUGCUUUAACCACCCCAAGUCUGUUUCUUCAUUUGCAAAACAGGGCUGUUACUAUAUCCCCAGGCAUCAUGGGUGAGAAAGGAAGAGGGGACUGAUAUCCCCGCUGGUGUGGGUAUAAGCGGAAAGAGCUGCGGGACUGUGUGGGUAUCAGAAAAGGUAUAUGCAGGUCAGAGGGUAAGGACUGAUCCCCCAGGUUGAAGGAGGGUGGGGCACAGUCAGGUGAGUCUGGGAGCCUCUUCUCUGCCCUUCCCCAGCUAAAGUGUCUCAAGACCCUGACCAUCCCCAGGAGGGAGCCUGAGCCAGGGGCUGCCCUCUGGAUUUCAAGGGUUCUGUCCUCAGUUAGAGGCCAUCCAUGUUCCCCAAGGGUGGAUGUGUUUGCUUGCCAAGGCCCGAAGCAUCCUUCCAGUUCCUGCAUCAGGACUCUGGGCAUCUAAUGAAGGUGAAAGCUGCCCAAGAAAAUCUCCUGUCUUUCCCGAUACCUUUCCCCUUCAUGUCAGGCUUUUUUAAAAUAAAUAUUUAUUUAUUUGGCUGUGCCAGGUCUUAGUGGCAGCAUGCAGGAUAUUUAGUUGUGGCAUACAAACUCGUAAGUUGCAGUGUGUGGGAUCCAGGCCCCCUGCAUUGGGAGUGUGGAGCCUUAGCUAUUGGGCCACCAGGAAAGUCCCCACGUCCCCUUGGGUAUUAGAAGCUAGAAGAAUAGUCAUGACCCUGAACCAUGUACCAUGAACCAUGUCAUUUUUGUGGUUGCAGAGCAUUAUUGUCUCUCAUUUCAGAUUUGGUCACAGAGUGACAUUGUCCCUUUCUCAUGUCAUUAUGUCACAGGAAAUCACAAUAUGCUGUGAGGAUGAGCUGCAAGUGACUUAGGUAGAUCCAGAGGGAGGCCUAAGAGCUGGAGCUGGUGAGCAAAGCAGAGCUAAGGUUCAGUUAGGUUACUCUGUUCCUUAAGUGAGUGAAGACUAUUGAUGGAACAUAGUUAUACUUGAUUUUAGAUACAGCUUUCUGAUGGAAGAUAAGAGAUGAUGAGGGCUGACUUAAGACAAUAAUAAAAAUUGUAACAAUGAUAAACAACUAUCACUGAUGGACUGUAGCCCACCAGGCUCCUCCAUCCAUGGAAUUUCUAGGCAAGAGUACU
Molecule: long non-coding RNA, 1333 nt
Filed under: Bos taurus (domestic cattle)
Lineage: Eukaryota; Metazoa; Chordata; Mammalia; Artiodactyla; Bovidae
Description: long non-coding RNA NONBTAT028716
Source: RNAcentral